RNAcentral lists this unclassified non-coding RNA (253 nucleotides) under Hevea brasiliensis (rubber tree). The record is from RNAcentral. Lineage: Eukaryota; Viridiplantae; Streptophyta; Magnoliopsida; Malpighiales; Euphorbiaceae.
CCACUCUUGAUUGCCAUGCCAUGUGAAGCAGGAGAAUUCCCAAUUCUAAUGUUCCUCCAUGGUUACCUUCUCUAUAACUCUUUCUAUUCUCUCCUCAUCCAACAUGUUGCUUCUCAUGGCUUCAUUGUUAUUGCUCCUCAGUUGUACACUGUGGCUGGGGCAGAUUCAAGUGAGGAGAUAAAAUCCACAGCUGCAAUAACAAACUGGUUAUCCAAAGGGCUGCAAGAAGUGCUGCCACUCCAUGUCCAACCAA